AACGAACGCUGGCGGCAUGCCUAACACAUGCAAGUCGAACGAGACCUUCGGGUCUAGUGGCGCACGGGUGCGUAACGCGUGGGAACCUGCCCUUAGGUUCGGAAUAACUCCCCGAAAGGGGUGCUAAUACCGGAUAAUGUCUUCGGACCAAAGAUUUAUCGCCUUUGGAUGGGCCCGCGUUGGAUUAGCUAGUUGGUAGGGUAAAAGCCUACCAAGGCGACGAUCCAUAGCUGGUCUGAGAGGAUGAUCAGCCACACUGGGACUGAGACACGGCCCAGACUCCUACGGGAGGCAGCAGUGGGGGAUAUUGGACAAUGGGCGGAAGGCUGAUCCAGCAAUGCCGGGUGAGUGAUGAAGGCCUUAGGGUUGUAAAGCUCUUUUAACCGGGAUGAUAAUGACAGUACCGGGAGAAUAAGCUCCGGCUAACUCCGUG
This 433-nucleotide ribosomal RNA is filed under the name uncultured bacterium. RNAcentral describes it as "partial 16S ribosomal RNA". It matches the Rfam family "Bacterial small subunit ribosomal RNA", at positions 29 to 507 of the family's 1533-position model. The record is from RNAcentral.